RNAcentral lists this transfer RNA (73 nucleotides) under Aedes aegypti (yellow fever mosquito). It matches the Rfam family "tRNA". Rfam says of the family: Transfer RNA (tRNA) molecules are approximately 80 nucleotides in length. Their secondary structure includes four short double-helical elements and three loops (D, anti-codon, and T loops). The record is from Rfam by way of RNAcentral. Lineage: Eukaryota; Metazoa; Arthropoda; Insecta; Diptera; Culicidae.
GGAUUGAUGGUUAAAUGGCUACAGCUUCUGCUUCAUAAGCAGAAGAUCAUGGGUUCAAUCCCAGCUUACUUCU